Molecule: transfer RNA, 65 nt
Filed under: Aleochara postica
Lineage: Eukaryota; Metazoa; Arthropoda; Insecta; Coleoptera; Staphylinidae
Description: tRNA-Ile
Source: RNAcentral
AAUGAGAUGCCUGACAAAAAGGGUUAUUUUGAUAGAAUAAAUUAUGUAAAUUUUUACUCUCAUUA